Molecule: ribosomal RNA, 403 nt
Filed under: Fusobacteriota bacterium
Lineage: Bacteria; Fusobacteriati; Fusobacteriota
Description: Fusobacteria bacterium partial 16S ribosomal RNA
Rfam family: Bacterial small subunit ribosomal RNA
Source: RNAcentral
UGGGGAAUAUUGCACAAUGGAGGGAACUCUGAUGCAGCGACGCCGCGUGAACGAAGAAGGUUUUCGAGUCGUAAAGUUCUUUUAUAUGGGAAGAUAAUGACGGUACCAUAAGAAAAAGCCCCGGCUAACUACGUGCCAGCAGCCGCGGUAAUACGUAGGGGGCUAGCGUUGUCCGGAAUCACUGGGCGUAAAGGGUUCGCAGGCGGAAAUGCAAGUCAGGUGUAAAAGGCAGUAGCUUAACUACUGUAAGCAUUUGAAACUGCAUAUCUUGAGAAGAGUAGAGGUAAGUGGAAUUUUUAGUGUAGCGGUGAAAUGCGUAGAUAUUAAAAAGAAUACCGGUGGCGAAGGCGACUUACUGGGCUCAUUCUGACGCUGAGGAACGAAAGCGUGGGUAGCAAACAGG